UACCGAGGGGGCGAGCGUUAAUCGGAAUUACUGGGCGUAAAGCGGACGUAGGUGGCGACGUAAGUCGGGUGUGAAAGCCCCGGGCUCAACCUGGGAAUUGCAUUCGAGACUGCAUUGCUGGAGUACGGAAGAGGAGGGCGGAAUUCCCGGUGUAGCGGUGAAAUGCGUAGAGAUCGGGUGGAACAUCAGUGGCGAAGGCGGCCCUCUGGUCCAGUACUGACACUCAAGUGCGAAAGCGUGGGGAGCAAACAGG
Molecule: ribosomal RNA, 253 nt
Filed under: uncultured bacterium
Lineage: Bacteria
Description: partial 16S ribosomal RNA
Rfam family: Bacterial small subunit ribosomal RNA
Source: RNAcentral